Molecule: ribosomal RNA, 427 nt
Filed under: uncultured Sinobacteraceae bacterium
Lineage: Bacteria; Pseudomonadati; Pseudomonadota; Gammaproteobacteria; Nevskiales; Nevskiaceae
Description: bacterial SSU rRNA
Rfam family: Bacterial small subunit ribosomal RNA
Source: RNAcentral
UGGGGAAUAUUGGACAAUGGGGGAAACCCUGAUCCAGCGACGCCGCGUGUGUGAAGAAGGCCUGCGGGUUGUAAAGCACUUUUAGUGGGGAUGAAAAGUUCAGGGCUAAUACCCCUGGAUCUUGACCUAACCCACAGAAAAAGCACCGGCUAACUCUGUGCCAGCAGCCGCGGUAAUACAGAGGGUGCAAGCGUUAAUCGGAAUUACUGGGCGUAAAGCGUGCGUAGACGGUUACAUAAGUCGGGUGUGAAAGCCCCGGGCUCAACCUGGGAAUUGCAUUCGAGACUGCGUAGCUAGGGUGCGGAAGAGGGAAGCGGAAUUUCCGGUGUAGCGGUGAAAUGCGUAGAUAUCGGAAGGAACACCAGUGGCGAAAGCGGCUUCCUGGUCCAGCACCGACGUUCAGGCACGAAAGCGUGGGGAGCAAACA